CCUACGUGUGGCAGCAGUAGGGAAUCUUCCACAAUGGGCGAAAGCCUGAUGGAGCAACGCCGCGUGGGUGAAGAAGGUCUUCGGAUCGUAAAACCCUGUUGUUAGAGAAGAAAGUGCGUGAGAGUAACUGUUCACGUUUCGACGGUAUCUAACCAGAAAGCCACGGCUAACUACGUGCCAGCAGCCGCGGUAAUACGUAGGUGGCAAGCGUUAUCCGGAUUUCUUGGGCGUAAAGGGAACGCAGGCGGUCUUUUAAGGCUGAUGUGAAAGCCUUCGGCUUAACCGGAGGAGUGCAUUUGAAACUGGGAGGCUUGAGGGUAGGAGAGGAGAGUGGAACUCCAAGUGUAGCGGUGAAAUGCGUAGAUAUAUGGAAGAACACCAGUGGCGAAAGCGGCUCUCUGGUCUGUAACUGACGCUGAGGUUCGAAAGCGUGGGUAGCAAACAGGAUUAGAUACCCGUGUAGUC
This 465-nucleotide ribosomal RNA is filed under the name uncultured bacterium. RNAcentral's name for it is "partial 16S ribosomal RNA". It matches the Rfam family "Bacterial small subunit ribosomal RNA", at positions 338 to 795 of the family's 1533-position model. The record is from RNAcentral.